AAUCAACGCUGGCGGCGUGCCUAACACAUGCAAGUCGAACGCGAAAGUCCCGCAAGGGAUUAGUAGAGUGGCAAACGGGUGAGUAACACGUGGGUGACCUGCCUUCGAGCGGGGGAUAACGUCCCGAAAGGGACGCUAAUACCGCAUAACAUCCUGCCUUUUAAGAGGUGGUGAUCAAAGCCGGGGAUUCGCAAGAACCUGGCACUUGAAGAGGGGCCCGCGCCUGAUUAGCUAGUUGGUGGGGAAUGGCCUACCAAGGCAACGAUCAGUAUCCGGCCUGAGAGGGCGGACGGACACACUGGGACUGAGACACGGCCCAGACUCCUACGGGAGGCAGCAGUAAGGAAUAUUGGUCAAUGGACGCAAGUCUGAACCAGCCAUGCCGCGUGAAGGAUGAAGGCCCUCUGGGUUGUAAACUUCUUUUAUCUGGGAAGAAAUGCCUUGUUUUCUAACGGGUUUGACGGUACCAGAGGAAUAAGCACCGGNUAACUCCGUGCCAGCCGCCGCUGUAAG
RNAcentral lists this ribosomal RNA (513 nucleotides) under uncultured bacterium. RNAcentral describes it as "bacterial SSU rRNA". It matches the Rfam family "Bacterial small subunit ribosomal RNA", at positions 32 to 524 of the family's 1533-position model. The record is from RNAcentral.